This 112-nucleotide ribosomal RNA is filed under the name Chelydra serpentina (North American snapping turtle). The record is from RNAcentral. Lineage: Eukaryota; Metazoa; Chordata; Testudines; Chelydridae.
CUACGGCCAUACCACCCUGAACACGCCCGAUCUCGUCUGAUCUCGAGCUAGCAGGGUCGGGCCUGGUUAGUACUUGGAUGGGAGACCUCCUGGGAAUACUGGGUGCUGUAGG